CUGCAACCAUUUUUUCCAACACUUUAUUGUACCACAGUCAUUCUUGCAGAGGUUGAAAAUAUGCGUCAAAGCACAAAGAGUAAUAUUUAAAACUGUUAUACAUAUUAACCCCUUAAGGACACAUGACAUGUGUGACAUGUCAUGAUUCCCUUUUAUUCCAGAAGUUUGGUCCUUAAGGGGUUAAACUGGAACUGUUUGGUAAAUUGUGGCACAGGCUGAAAAAAAGAACACACACAACAGUUUUUAAACAUAGCCGUCACUAUAUCCCAUUGUCUGGGCAAUGAACAGUCAAUGGCAAUCCUUAAUGUUUCCUAUUUGUGGUGGCAAUACAUUUUUAAUUAGAAUGCAGAAUAUUAACAGUAUGGUUAGUAACCUCUUAUUUAGAAACCCCACCUUGAUCACACAUUGAGAAUUAGAUGGAACAAAAAUAUCUGACAUUACAUGUUAAAACACAUCAAGGCAGUGAUAGCUUUCUGGCUUUUUUUAAUACUGCCCAGAACUAGAUGAUACAUGCUGACUAAAUCCAUUAACAAAGAAAAAAAGCAGACUGUUCUUAAACUAUAACAAACCAUUUAACAAAAUAAAAUAGGCAAAAAAUAAAAAUAGUUGAGUAGGGCUUGUAUGUUCUCUGUUGACCUAAAUUAGGAUAGAUUGACAUCAGCCAUUGUCUUACGUAACAUGAUCACUAAAACAAAUUAUAGUUACAUUGCAAUUAGUUCUCUAAAUUAAAGUGAAGGGCUGAUGUUUUUGUCUUUGAGAACGAAGCAUUGAACACAGGUCUACAGACUAAGAACUCUUAAAGUAUAUGGACAUAAAGAAAUGGCUUGCUGCACUGGAUAAAGCAAUUAAAUGCAAUUACGAUAUGGAAUGUGUUGCCAGUUGAAGAUGUUUUCAGCCAUCAUUAGGUAACUAUGAACAUGCAAAAAUUCUGUAAUUCUGAUUUUUGUAAAAAUGUUUUUAAACCAGUUAUACAGUGCAUUAACAAAUAGCUGC
This is a non-coding RNA of Pelobates cultripes (western spadefoot toad), 993 nucleotides long. The record is from the annotation of a GenBank genome assembly. NCBI's taxonomy places the organism in Eukaryota, Metazoa, Chordata, Amphibia, Anura, Pelobatidae.